CAUGAGAUGUCCAAAUUUUAUAACCCAAGCAAAUUCCAUUAGCUAUCAAAUGAUAUCUAACAUUUUCAAUGGUCUCCCAUGUCCCAUUUUUACAAUUAACACAUGGACAUUUCAUCAAAUCUUCAACUACACCUUUAUUCUCAAUUGCAAAUUUUAUAAAUUGCUCAACACCCAAUUUAUAUUCCGGAGUAAGUGUUAUUCGGUUACUUUCUAAUCGACGAUUCAUCCAACUACGAUCAUUGGUCGACAUCUACAUACAAGCAUACACAAACAACUCAAAACAAUAUACACACACAUACACAUAUAUAUACACACAAUUAUAUACACAAAUAUAUACACAUAUGUACACAUAUGUACACAUAUAUACACAUAUAUACACAUACAAACAUUUCAUACCUCCAAGUUCAAUUUCAACUUCACCUCCUAUUUCAACUUCACCUUCAAUUUCAAAAUUACACAUUUCAUAAUUAGAAAUAUAUUCAAAAAAGAAGACAAACAUUUUAAGGUUAAUUCAUACCUUCAAAUUUUUUUUCUCUUCCACAAAUAUAUAAUUAUG
Molecule: long non-coding RNA, 556 nt
Filed under: Daucus carota (carrot)
Lineage: Eukaryota; Viridiplantae; Streptophyta; Magnoliopsida; Apiales; Apiaceae
Description: long non-coding RNA (DCAR_LNC006803)
Source: RNAcentral